This 211-nucleotide ribosomal RNA is filed under the name uncultured Streptococcus sp. RNAcentral describes it as "partial 16S ribosomal RNA". It matches the Rfam family "Bacterial small subunit ribosomal RNA", at positions 1173 to 1382 of the family's 1533-position model. Lineage: Bacteria; Bacillati; Bacillota; Bacilli; Lactobacillales; Streptococcaceae. The record is from RNAcentral.
GUGGGGAUGACGUCAAAUCAUCAUGCCCCUUUAUGACCUGGGCUACACACGUGCUACAAUGGUUGGUACAACGAGUUGCGAGUCGGUGACGGCGAGCUAAUCUCUUAAAGCCAAUCUCAGUUCGGAUUGUAGGCUGCAACUCGCCUACAUGAAGUCGGAAUCGCUAGUAAUCGCGGAUCAGCACGCCGCGGUGAAUACGUUCCCGGGCCUU